UCAGGGUCUGUGGUUCUCUGAAAAGUGCACUGGGGAAUAGAGAGAAGUACAGACAUACCCCAAGGACCUCGGAAUCCAUGGGGAGAUGUGACCUUCACAAAGGUGCCAAAUGAGCAGAACAGACAAUGGACAAGGAAAGUUCCAUGGAGCAGAGGGAACAUGGGUGACGACUUGGGCGCAGGCACCUAAGAUCAAGAGGGACAGAGAAGAGGUUUGGUGACAGAUACAUAGGAGGUGCUGCCUCUGACAUGUCUGUGCUGGCGAUGGCAACAAUGAAACACUGUGACCGAGCGAGAAUUGAGUAGUGCUGUUCUGGCCCUUCACUGGGAGAAGGGAGAAGCAGGCUCUGCCUCCAGUUAAGGAGCUCCAACAUUAGCUUCAGGAGCUCCAGGAUGUUCAAAAAGGAAAGGAACCCAACAGGAGGCUUAAGCAACACCAGAGGUCCCUAAGACGAACCACAGCCACGUGGCAGAGCUUUUGGGUGUCUUCAUCCCCCGCGCCUGCACUGCACCCCUCCACUGGUGAGGGCAGAGCCCACACGUGAAGGUCAGCAGCAAGAUUCCACGACGAGCAGCGCAGGAGCCCGCGAGUGAGCAGGCAGGGCUAGAGAGCGGGAUCUGAGCUGCAACUGCGGUGGGCUCUGCUUAGGAGAGGAGAGGGCAACUCAUGCUCUUGAUGAGAGAAAAAGAAAGAAGAAAUCAACUCCGGCUGGAGGAACAUCUACCAGGCAUGGGAAAAGAAGAAAGGGAUUAUCAUGGAGUUUCAGAUUUUUCAUCUCUAAUUGCCUAGAAUCUGUGUUCCCUGAAGAUUUAAGAACAGAGUAGAUUCACCCGUACCAAUGACUGAGGUCUAGGGCCUUUAAGCUUUUUUGGGUAAUGGGCCACAUCGCCGGAAAUCCCUACGUGGACUCAGAUUCUGUGCUGUCAUGAUGACUUGACGAUUUCCAUCUUUGCCAGGUCAGUAUGCAAGUCAAACCCCACUCAAGUGCCCAUGGAGGCUUUGCUCCCACUUGUUUUACUAUGGUCAGUAAUGCUUCAUAAAGCUCGAGUUUAACGAUAUAAUUUUGGCAGAGCUAAUAUAAAAAAGUUCAAAAUUAUUAAUUUAUCUUUCAUUGCAAUUAGUAACCAUUCAGCCUGCGUAUAUGUUAUCUGACAGCUGUCAGUAGUUCAGUUACCCUUAUCAGAGGAGGCUCAAAAGUAAAAUUCUUAGCUAAAUACAUUAUGUUGCCCAAAGGGUCAGCCAGACUUCGGCUGAGGAGCCUGAAAACUGAGGGGAGAUUGAAUAAAAUACCUGAGCUUUCCGGCAUUGAGCAUUCUGAAAGCAUUUGGGCAGGUCAGCCCUUAAACGAAGAUUUAGAUAAACAAGAUGGGAGAAAACAAAUUAGAGAAUUUAACCCAAGAGGCUUAAUGCUGGUAAAGCAUAUGAUGACUGAUUUCUAAUCUAGAAUUUGAUCAAAUCAAUUAGCAAACUCAUGCCCUAUAUUUAAGUCAAGAGUAAAACUGUUAACAGGACUGCAGUCACUGAAAAAAGAAAAGCCACUUUUUAUUCCUUCAAACUUUAUAUUGUGAGGGGUCGGCCCCGUGGCCGAGUGGUUAAGUUCACGCGCUCUGCUUUGUCAGCCCAGGGUUUCACCCGUUUGGAUCCUGGGUGCGGACAUGGCACGGCUCAUCAGGCCAUGCUGAGGUGGCAUCCCACAUGCCACAACCAGAAGGACCCACAACUAAAAUAUAAAACUAUGUACUGGGGGGAUUUGGGGAGAAAAAGCAGGAAAAAACCACAAAACUUUAUAUUAUGAAUUCUACUCUAUCGUAGUAUUUAUUUAUUUUUCUUUUUUGCUUUUCUUGUAAAGACUUACCUGUUGCUCACCUUGGCCCAAGAAAUCAGGUUUUAGGUGAUGGGUUGUUAAAGAGUUAAUGUCGCAUUCCAAGAAAGGGUGCGAAAGGAAUGGGAUGUGGUUAAGGACACUGAGUAAUAGGGAGUAGGAGCAGCUCAGAAGAGACCUGUGCAUGAACAUCGUCUUCUGGCCUGCCUAGACCUGAACUAGACUACUGAGAACGUAACGUAAGACUUUAAACCAGCUAAACACACUUCGGAAAACAAUCUCACCUGAGGAAGAUUCUGUUUAAAGUAUUUUAAAGUUAUACCAAAUUACUAAUAUUUUAAUAAAUUUUAACAUUUUAAUAUGGGAAUAUAUUGUAUAUAAAACCCCUGAAAAUUACAAUGAUGACGACUUGAGGAAAUCUGCCUUCUGUCGUCUGUAUGCACCCCACAAAUCGAAGGCAAAAACCCCUUGUGGAUCAUCAAAGAUCUUUAUCCACUCCGACCCGAGCUGAAUGCUGGAGAGCUCUUAUGAUUAUAUGGUAGCUCUUUCAGUUCUAAAGGAAUGGCAGAUUUAGCUAUUCAGAACUAUUGUCAGGUCUUCUUUGUGUAAAUACUUAAACAUUUUCAAAGUUUAAAGCAAUGAGGCCAACCCAAAUCUGAUGAUAUGCAAAGAGUCAAUUAUGUGUAGCAUCUGUCCCGAAGGAAGAAGUUGCUAGAACACCAGCUCAGCGCUGAUGCCACAGUUUGAUUUCAUCCUCCCUCCUCUGCUCCUGCUCCACCUUCAGUGAACCAGAUAAAUUAGAUCAGCACCGCGAUGCCCCUAAGUACUGUAUAGCUUGAAAAAUAACAUUUAUAAAAACUACACUUGGGCAUGAACAAGACCCCCGUCGCCAAGCCUGUAAACCUCCCCUACUCCUUUGAGACAAGUAUCAACUCUGGAAAAGAAAUGAAGACUCAGCUCUACCAAGGGGCUUUUAACUGACCUGGGUAAGCGUUUCUUUAAAAAGAAAGGGUUGCUCUUAGUUAUGAUCAUUUUUUCUCCUAAGGCUGCUGUGGAUUUUCAGUACCAGAGGGUGAACGUGAGUUCAGAAAAUGUUAAGUCCACAUUUAAAAACA
Molecule: long non-coding RNA, 2937 nt
Organism: Equus quagga
Lineage: Eukaryota; Metazoa; Chordata; Mammalia; Perissodactyla; Equidae
Exons: 4
Source: RefSeq, a predicted model, not a curated record